UGCAAGUCGAGCGGACAGAUGGGAGCUUGCUCCCUGAUGUUAGCGGCGGACGGGUGAGUAACACGUGGGUAACCUGCCUGUAAGACUGGGAUAACUCCGGGAAACCGGGGCUAAUACCGGAUGCUUGUUUGAACCGCAUGGUUCAAACAUAAAAGGUGGCUUCGGCUACCACUUACAGAUGGACCCGCGGCGCAUUAGCUAGUUGGUGAGGUAACGGCUCACCAAGGCAACGAUGCGUAGCCGACCUGAGAGGGUGAUCGGCCACACUGGGACUGAGACACGGCCCAGACUCCUACGGGAGGCAGCAGUAGGGAAUCUUCCGCAAUGGACGAAAGUCUGACGGAGCAACGCCGCGUGAGUGAUGAAGGUUUUCGGAUCGUAAAGCUCUGUUGUUAGGGAAGAACAAGUACCGUUCGAAUAGGGCGGUACCUUGACGGUACCUAACCAGAAAGCCACGGCUAACUACGUGCCAGCAGCCGCGGUAAUACGUAGGUGGCAAGCGUUGUCCGGAAUUAUUGGGCGUAAAGGGCUCGCAGGCGGUUCCUUAAGUCUGAUGUGAAAGCCCCCGGCUCAACCGGGGAGGGUCAUUGGAAACUGGGGAACUUGAGUGCAGAAGAGGAGAGUGGAAUUCCACGUGUAGCGGUGAAAUGCGUAGAGAUGUGGAGGAACACCAGUGGCGAAGGCGACUCUCUGGUCUGUAACUGACGCUGAG
Molecule: ribosomal RNA, 712 nt
Filed under: Bacillus mojavensis
Lineage: Bacteria; Bacillati; Bacillota; Bacilli; Caryophanales; Bacillaceae
Description: bacterial SSU rRNA
Rfam family: Bacterial small subunit ribosomal RNA
Source: RNAcentral